RNAcentral lists this ribosomal RNA (300 nucleotides) under uncultured Lactobacillus sp. Its description in RNAcentral is "bacterial SSU rRNA". The stretch from base 53 to 300 matches the Rfam family "Bacterial small subunit ribosomal RNA", at positions 548 to 795 of the family's 1533-position model. Lineage: Bacteria; Bacillati; Bacillota; Bacilli; Lactobacillales; Lactobacillaceae. The record is from RNAcentral.
GCGAAGUGAGGCGCGGCGGGUGGGGAAAUAGGUAGGGGGCUGGGGUUGUCGCGAAUCAUUGGGCGUAAAGGGCGUGUAGGCGGCCCGGUAAGUCCGCUGGGAAAGUCCAGGGCUCAACCCUGGGAUGCCGGUGGAUACUGUCGGGCUCGAGUCCGGAAGAGGCGAGUGGAAUUCCUGGUGUAGCGGUGAAAUGCGCAGAUAUCAGGAGGAACACCAAUGGCGAAGGCAGCUCGCUGGGACGUGACUGACGCUGAGACGCGAAAGCGUGGGGAGCAAACAGGAUUAGAUACCCGUGUAGUC